UGCGUGAAAGAGUACAAUUGUUUCAACUCUUCCACUUUUUCAUGCAAGAAUACAGCUGUUUUUACAGCUUUAGUCUACAUCACAUUUAUUGCCCCAUUUCUCUUUACCGUGUGUAUUCCUUUCCUUCUCUCUUUCUUUCUCCAAAAUAUUUAUGGCUUCUCUCUCAAAAUCUCUCUCUCUCUCUUGGCAAGUAUAGGAAAGGUAUCUCGCCGGAUCAGCAGCGACUCAUCUUCGCUGGGAAACAGCUCGAAGACGGCCGGACCUCCGCCUCUCUGCUUGGUCGACGAGCAACAGUAAUCAUCGGGCCACCGCUGCCGCCGAUGAUUUUGCACUGGGAGCCGAAACUGCAUCGAUUUCAGGCAUUUUUUUUUAUUUAGGUGCUUGGUUUUUUUGGUAGUAUUUCUUGAGUGCUAAGAAGACUAAGCAAAUAUGCAGAAUGAGGAGGGGCAAAACAUGGAUCUCUAUAUCCCAAGGAAGUGUGUAGGAAAUUUCCAACCAUCUCCACAUAUGUCAUUCUAGGGUAGGGAUCUCCUAGAAUGAUGGUCCAAUUGGUGUUCAGUUUUUGCAGAAUCUGUGGAUGAUCUCAAAGUACUGGAGAGAUCUCCAAAUAUCUAUUCCAAGGUAAAAGUUUUAAUUUGUCUUUUUUAAAUGUUAUUUGCUCUUAAUUCCUAUAUAUGCCUUUUUGAUUUAAUAUUUUUUUUCUUCAUAUUAUGCAACUGUUAGUUUGUCAACAGAGCUCGAUUAUGAUGGAGGUGAUGUCACAUUUUGUUAGUUUGUGUUGUAUGUUAACUUUGUGUUUGACUACAAAGCUUAUCUUUCGUAGUUCGUUUUGUGAAUAGGAACCACCUAUUGGCUGAGUAAGAAGCAGAGGUGGUGGGAGAGAGGGAGGCCUAGAGGUGGCCCAACUGGGAGUUGGGCUCACUAUAGCAAUAAGCUUUUCAGUGUACUGAGACUUUGAGAGUUUCCUAGGUCUCUUGCUGGUAAGGGAAACUGAGAUGAUUUUACUUGUGGGCAUCCUUUUGUAUAUAAAUGUGUUGUACGAUUCUUUAUAUUUUACUAAUCUUGAUGAUUCUACUGUAUUGGUGAGCCUUGCUUGUGGUAAUCUUUCUGGCAAUGCAUCAUCAACAAGUGGGAAACUUAUAAUGGUAUGGAGUUAUAAUAUAUUACAACUUGAAACAUUUCUGUUUUAUUAGUUCAGUUGAAGGUAGGCUUAGCAUGCUAAAUGAUUACGAUAUUUUGCUUGCUGGGCAUUUUGUUUUCUUGAGUUGGUUAUGUCUAGAUAUGUAAAAUUUGGUUGUUUAGUUUGUAUGGAAAUUCGGCAAAUUUCUUCAGCAUAAGUUUGCUUCCAUUUCUACACUUGGGAAGGUAUUGAAACUCUCACAUGCUACUUCUCUACUGAAAGUUAUAUCUUGCUCAUUGCUUUAUGUUUUCAUUGUUAUAGAAUCAUUUGGAGACCCGCAAGCUUCAGCGUAUAUAUGGGAAGGAAGAGCUAAACAUAUAAUCAUCAGCCAUAACCCAACGACUUCUUCCGCCGUUGGCCACCAUGUAUGAUGUUUUCCAAGAGAAGGUGGUAAUGGCAGUUGACAAGGCCAUAGACACACUGUUGAGGUUGGGUUUAGUAGUGACAGUGAUUUGUGUUAUUAUUUGUGUUAAAGACAUUGGCUGAAUCUUGGAUGAACUCGGAGAAGACUGGAGAGAUAUCCGAAUAUCUGUUGAAAGCAUUUCAAGAAUUAAUCUUGCUAUAUAUUGGGAACAAUGGAGAAAGGGAAACUCCAGAUCAAGCUGAAGUGCUUUCGUACAUUUUUGUAAAUCUAUGAGAGAAUUCCUAUUCCAGAUUUGCCGGUUAUUUUUCCUCACAAGCAGCUGUGUUUUCGAAUCCUUGACGCGGUAUGUAUAAUAAGUCUAAUCUGAUCUGAUCUGUUCCAUAUCCCAAAAUUAUUUUUCUGCCCCGUUGGACCACUAAGAAUAAUCAACGUAGUUGUGUUUCGUUUCAUUUAAUGCAUUUCUGUUGUGGCUUGAACAAAUAUGUGCGGAUCUGGUGGAAUGAUCUUAGUUUCAAACUUGACGAUCCACCGUUUUGGUUCAUUCGUUAUCUUUAACCUUAAUCUUUGUGCAGUACAAAGAAGCCAUUUUGGUGUAUGCAACCUUACUUAAAGCAGAGAGUGACCAGGGUAGUAGUGGUUUCUCAGUUUGGAGUAUUAUUUGAAGUAGAAUGGAAAGAAAAUAAGUGAGCAAGAAUUUGGUUGAGUGCAGGUGAGAAGCACCAAAGGCAUUGCUCAUAAAUGUGAGGCAUUCAUGUAUGAUGUUUUCCAAGAGAAGGUAAAUAUUUAUCAAGGAUCGAUAAAUACACAUUUUCCUGGUGGCCUAACUCCUUCCAUGAAGUCCUGUCUCUUCAAAGGUUUUGGUGAAGCUUUGGCAUGUUGAGAUUGACUAGCAAGCCAUGAUGCAACGGGGGGACGAGCAACAGCAAUCAUCGGCCCGCUGCCGCCGCCAAUCUCUGUAUCUUUCCCCGUCAGAUUGAUUUUCGCCUGCAAUUUUCAUUUAUAUGUUCAAUUUUACUUCAUUCUUCAAUUUAACUGCUUAAGUUGCAUUUUUUGUCUGCAUACAUUUCUUGCUUUUCGGUUCUAAUGGUUCUUUUUAUUAAUCUUUUUACCAUUAUUUUUUUUAGAACUUAUCGAUAUUGAUUUUGGGAUGUUGCUGUAGGAUAUGAAAGAAAUUGAGAUUAUCUAGCUCUCCAAAUACAUGGUCCAAAGGUGAUUGUAAAACAUGGGUUAGCAGCUGAUACUUUGAAGUCUAUGAUUCACAGUGGUGAAGGUAGCAGGUUGGUUUGUAUCUAGAUAUGUAAAUUUUGGUUGUUUAGUUUGUAUGGAAAUUCAGUAAAUUUCAGCAAUUUUGAUGUUUAUGUGCAAUGAAUGAGUAUGACUGACUCAUAUUUUAGUAUUUUAUCAUGUUUUAUUACUCAUU
Molecule: long non-coding RNA, 2964 nt
Organism: Salvia miltiorrhiza (redroot sage)
Lineage: Eukaryota; Viridiplantae; Streptophyta; Magnoliopsida; Lamiales; Lamiaceae
Exons: 11
Source: RefSeq, a predicted model, not a curated record